This 451-nucleotide ribosomal RNA is filed under the name uncultured bacterium. RNAcentral's name for it is "partial 16S ribosomal RNA". It matches the Rfam family "Bacterial small subunit ribosomal RNA", at positions 354 to 796 of the family's 1533-position model. The record is from RNAcentral.
GUGGGGAAUAUUGGACAAUGGGGGCAACCCUGAUCCAGCCAUGCCGCGUGUGUGAAGAAGGCCUUUUGGUUGUAAAGCACUUUAAGCGAGGAGGAGGCUCCUUUAGUUAAUACCUAAAGAGAGUGGACGUUACUCGCAGAAUAAGCACCGGCUAACUCUGUGCCAGCAGCCGCGGUAAUACAGAGGGUGCGAGCGUUAAUCGGAUUUACUGGGCGUAAAGCGUGCGUAGGCGGCUUUUUAAGUCGGAUGUGAAAUCCCUGAGCUUAACUUAGGAAUUGCAUUCGAUACUGGAAAGCUAGAGUAUGGGAGAGGAUGGUAGAAUUCCAGGUGUAGCGGUGAAAUGCGUAGAGAUCUGGAGGAAUACCGAUGGCGAAGGCAGCCAUCUGGCCUAAUACUGACGCUGAGGUACGAAAGCAUGGGGAGCAAACAGGAUUAGAAACCCCGGUAGUCC